Papaver somniferum (opium poppy) is the source of this 1501-nucleotide RNA transcript. RefSeq lists it as uncharacterized. The transcript has 4 exons. The record is from RefSeq and is a predicted model, not a curated record. Lineage: Eukaryota; Viridiplantae; Streptophyta; Magnoliopsida; Ranunculales; Papaveraceae.
CCGGAAACAAACAGUACAGCCAGCCAACUUCCACAGCAACCAACCAAAGCUGUUACAAUAAAUCUUAGGGUUUUCGGUAGAGAACUCUAGUUCAGAUUCUCAGUAUAACUCUGGUUCCAACCUAAUGGUAAGAGGAAAGAGAAGACCUCUAGCAGCUUUAGCCGCAGCUGAAGACUAUUCUCUCCAUGGUUCUGUUGAGUCUUUAGACUUUAAUGCUGCAGAAGACCUGCAUGAAGAUGGUAAUUGGGUAAUUGUUAAGAAACAGCGAAUUACUAUCUGGAUCCCUCCUCCUUCUCCGUCUGUGCAUCCGGCUACAGCCCCAGGUCCUCCUCGGACAAACAACAGACAGCACAAGUCCAAGAAAAGAAUAAUUAAAAGACGGCAAAUACUUCCUAACAAGAGACAACAGCCACGAAAACGCCCACAUGAAGGAGAGCUUCAGAACUGUGAUACAGUACUGGAUUCGAGUAAAGGUAUUCAGAUCAGUGGAGGAAAUCUGGACUCCCCACCCAGUUCCAUGAAAAAGAAGUUGCCCAAGCAGGUUUCUAGAAGAAGAACUGCACCAAAAGGCCCAACUAGGCUUACUGGGGAUGAGUCACUCUACCGCCCAGCAACAUCUAAAUCUCUUGUCCCUGAUAAUGAACAUGCAAGGCUGAGUGCUAUUGGAUCCUCUCCACAGAUUAGGGUAUCUAGAGUAUUUGAAGCUGAUAAGAAUAAGAAGAGGCUGCCUACUAAUAAUACUUCCCCCCCACCAACAAUGUUCCGUAGUCAAGGACCUUCUAGAGCUCAUGUCAGAUCGAUCAGUUGUCUGAAUAUGGGUAUGGGUGUACUACAACAGAAUCAAAAGAUGCGUGCGGCAAACCUGGAGAGGAAACUGGAAAAGGCUGGUGGGUUGAGCAGGUGGCUCAUGUCACUUGGGCUAGGACAGUUUGUGCAGAUGUUCCGAAUGCGAAACGUGGAUGAUAAAUUUCAACUGUUGAACCUAAACAUGGGAAAGCUCAAAGAAAUGGGUGCAAUUGCAGUUGGCCCGAGAAGAAAGUUAAUGCAUGCAAUUGACUGUUUGGCAUUUCAAGAUUGUACUCUUAGUAGAGGAAUGAUUUGAAAGGGUUUGGCAAGAUCAGAUAAACUGCAAGGACUCUGUUGCUUUGUUGAUGAUGGCUUUGGGAACUCCAGAAGUGCUGCAUAUCCCCUAAUAUCUUCGCGCACUCCCUUCCGCGUAACUCCAUUCAUCAGUUGUUGAAGUAAUCACAAGAUGUCGUUUCUUGCAAAUGAUUCAGUAUUCAUAUCUGCUCAUGUUAUUAAUUAACCAGAAAUGAACGAAACAGUUUAAAAACUUCCUUGCGUACCUAUAAUGUAAGUUCCCUCCUCACAACGCAUUUUUUUAAAUCAGAUCGGUAUUUCUUCUUAACACUUCUUCUUGGAGAAAGAACUCUUAAACGUGUAAGUAUAACAAUGUCAAUGUAAUUCUAAACACGAACGUAAAGGAACACCGUACAUUACG